This 3754-nucleotide long non-coding RNA is filed under the name Cicer arietinum (chickpea). Its description in RNAcentral is "long non-coding RNA (CARI_LNC000910)". Lineage: Eukaryota; Viridiplantae; Streptophyta; Magnoliopsida; Fabales; Fabaceae. The record is from RNAcentral.
CCAAUCAUCUUCCACAUCAUUAAUUAGAACAAAAUAUAAAAUGACAAUAGGUAUUUACCUCUACAGACAAUACCUGGACAGAUGCUUUCCCCAUUCUUUCCACAAAUAUUGAAUAAAAGUCACAAACCAAAGGUAGGUGGCAGUUCACAAUUUUAUGGUCCGAGACUAUGUAGAUCAGAUCAAGAAAUAUUGGGUAGCUGUUUUUAUCAAUUUUAAGGCAGACGGAUUUGGUGACAAUUUGGUUUGAUGAAGCCGAAAUGCAUAUAUUAGUCUACGCAUAACUCAUAAGUCAACGUGAUAACAUGCUAAUAAACUAUAAUAAAGACCGAUUUAAAUUAAGACCAUUUUAUUAAAAGUAACAGUAUAUAUUUAAUUAUUUAUGUAACAACUCAUUCAUAUAAAGAAUGUUAUACAGAAAGUUAGAGUUGAUUAUAAAGAAUACUGACCAGUAAUUCCUUUAAUUAAUUUGUCUCAGUAGUCUUUCAUUCUUAAACUCCAAGUUCACAAUUGUUUUAGUUUCGUCUCUGUAAUUUCACGCUUUUCUUGUUUUCUCCCUUCUCCGUUUGUCAUCUCAGCUUUUUUUAGCAUCACUAACAGCAAGGACGGCAAAUUUGAACUAACAGGAUAAAAAAAUGCUAUGAGAGACAACAUUACAGUGACGUAAAUAAAAAAAAUGCUAAGAGAGACCAAACAUAUAUUUAUGCCAUAAAUUAAUAUCCAACAUCCAAAGUUGAUACAGAGUAGGCAUCAUAGGACUACCAAAAAUUGUUUGAAUUAGCAGACUCUAAUAAAAAAUUCUCCAACAACACACCACCAAAGUUAUUAUUGCAAAACAAAUUCAAUUUUUAUGGGGCUUCCAACUCUCCAACAAUAACACCCAUAGUGUAGCAAAAUAUACUGAAUAUGAAUUCAAUUUUCAAAAGAAUAACCAUUUUCAAAAUUUACAUUCUUGCUCAGCAUAACUUUUUACGUAUAGAGCAUUAUCAUUAUGCUAUUUCAAUAACACUCUUCUGACUGAUAGAAUGUCUUCACACUCGUAUAUCUCGCAAAAGAUAAAAAGAAAAUCUAUCUUACAGAAUAAAAUGAAACACAUAAUUGUCGUUACAAUAAAAAAAAAAUAUAUAUAUAUAUGAUACCUUGAUGUUAGAUUAAUGCACCAAUACUAUUUUACAACAUAAUAAAAACCGUGUUCUGAAACCAAAAACCAACAAAACAACGUAUGGUGUAGCUAGUAAACUAUUUUAUAAGCUAUUCCAAAUAUUUAUAUAAGCAUUAAUGUCAUACAAUAGACCCAAAUAAACCCUUCCAAACACACCCUAGAUUGAAAAGGAGGGGCCAGCUUCCAAUGAAUUAGAGAACUAUAAUAUAGGUUAACACUUUGCCAAAAAAUAAAGAACAUGGGACAUGCCAUUAUUAAUGAUGUACCUACCCGUACAUUUCCUGUGCAGUGACCUCUUUGGCUGUAAAUUGUUUUGGUCCUAUCAUUAGUUUUGGCUGACUCAAAAUUAAACCCUACAGAGUAACAUAAAAGAGGGAAAAUCAAAACAGAAAUCAGCGCACUUCAAUGGUCAUCCCUAUGAAAAGGAAUAAUAGAUAGGUUCUAAGGUUCAUAUCAUCGUUUAAAGUUGAGACAGAAAAGCCAUCAAUAGAGUACCAAACAUGAAUGAGCAUAAUUGCAUGAAUGAGCAUAAUUGGAUGCCAUACAGAGUUUAUGCUUCCUCAUGUCAUACUCCAACAAAACCACCCAACAAUGAGUUGAGACAGAAAAGGCAUCAAUAGAGUACCAAACAUGAGCAUAAUUGGAUGUAAAUAGAAUUCCAAUAAAAUAUCUCCAUCGCCACAAAGACUUUAUUCCAAAACAAAUUUAAGUUUCAAUAUAAUAGUCACUUACAGAGUUUAUGUUUCCUCGUGUCAUACUCCAACAAAACCACCCAAGAUGUAACACUAUAACAAAACCACCCAAGAUGUAACACUAUAACAAAACCACCCACAAUGUAACAAUAUACUGAAUAAUUAAUUCUCCACAUCAUUUAAAAAGAAAUAUAACUCAAGUUAUAAUGGAAGCACUUAGAUUGCCCUGAAAUUGAAUAAUAAACCAAUUUUAUUUUACAGCACAAAAAAACUGUUCAAAAAACUUCACUAUUCAUAUAACAAAACAUUCGAUAUUGUAAUUUCGAACUAUCACAGAAGCUUCCAACUCAUUCAUUUUUUACUCCAAUAAACUCCACCUGGGUUCAUUAAAUAGGUCUCACAACUUUAAUUUAUACAUUAAUAUUUUAUUUAUAUUUAAUUUUAUUAUAACUUAAAAUAUUAAUUUAAAUAAUUCAAUUAAUAUUAUUAUACAUUAUUUUAAUUUAAAUUUAAAAUAAAAUUAAACUUAAAUUUUUAUAACAAUAAUAAAAAUAAAAGCUAACGGUCAUAAAAUUAUUAUUAUUAUUAUUAAUAAAUUAAAAAUAACAGUCUUACCUUAAUAAAAAAAGGUAACGCUAAUAGAUUUAUUAUUAAAUUAUAAAAGUACCAUUACUCACGUACAUAUGAUUACAGUUUGACACAACUUCGACGGUAAACUCGCCACAAACUCAAUAUUUUACUUAACUCGAUGACGGCGGACAAAAUUGGAGAAGCUCCCACUAAAAUAAUCACUUUAAACCAAAUCAUUUAACGAAUUAAGUAGCACUAACAUAAUUGUGAUUCUAGGGACGAGUGACAACCUCUGUGCGUGAUUCUGAUUCUCAACUCUUUGCAUCUAUUCCUUUCCUUUCUAGUUUUUUUGAGAAAAUCUUAGUGUUAUCUUCUAAAUACUCUUUAUAAGGGUGAUUCUCAGGUACAAGUUUUCUAUACUCCUCAAACUGUUUCUCAGCUUCAUCAUUCUUUCUAACCAAAGUAUACACAACACAUUGACACAAAUAGGGUCUAAAAUCUCUGGUUCUUCCUUCACAAUCUCCUCAUAAACCUUUAAAGCACCCUGAUAAUCUUCUUCCAUUACCUUCGGCUGUGCAAUCAAAAGCACAAAUUCCCUCACUUAUGAGUAACAUGAAAUAUACAUUUGACCCCUGAAAAAAUAAUUCUUUUAGUAGCCAAUUUUAGGCUUAGAUUCCCUAGUAACCAAUUUUACAAGUAACAUGAAAUAUAUACACCUGUAAAAAUAAUUCUUUUACAACAUAAUGUGACCCCAAUUCUUUUAAAUGUUAUUUAGAAUUGCUGAAUCAUUUUGCCUUCUUACUCUUAAUUAAACCAAAAACCCAUACAUUCAUAGCAACAGAAAAAUAAAAAUCAUAGAACUUGGAAAUAGAAAUAAAGGUAGAAAAAAACGCAGAGAAACUCAGAAACCGGAAUAGAAACCCGAAUCGCAAAAAUCAAAAAUCUUAGAGACCUAGAAACGUUGUCUCCACCAAACAAUCGACGCCUCCACAACAAGUAUUUCGAUAACCUCUCUUCCCCUUAUUCAUAUUUGAAGAAAAAAAAAGGUUCCUCUACAAACAAUACCUGGACAGAUGCUUUCCCAAUUCUUUCAACAAAUAUUGAAUAAAAGUCACAAACCAAAGGUAGGUGGCAGUUCACAAUUUUAUGGUCCGAGACUAUGUAGAUUAGAUCAAGAAAUAUUGGGUAGCUGCUUUUAUCAAUUUUAAGGCAGACAGAUUUGGUGACAAUUUGGUUUGAUGAAGCCGAAAUGCAUAUAUUAGUCUACGCAUAACUCAUAAGUCAACGUGAUAAAAUGUUAAUAAAGUAUAAUAAAGACCGAUUUAAAUUAAGA